This 29-nucleotide non-coding RNA is filed under the name Mus musculus (house mouse). The record is from RNAcentral. Lineage: Eukaryota; Metazoa; Chordata; Mammalia; Rodentia; Muridae.
UUAUUGUGUCUCCUGGCAGAAAUGCAUCC